AAAAUAUUCACAAUUACAUCAUCUAUAAAAUAAUCUACACCAUCCACUCCCCUUGAAAUGGAUAAAAAUUAAGGGAGGUUGUGAAGAAUAUGUUCCCAUGAGAAUUGCAAUUUUCUUCUGUCUUUUACAUACAGAAGACUGGAUAUAUCUGAAGUACAAAGUGUCCAUAAAUUUGAUUUCGCUGAUUACAUUUUACUUUUGGCUCACUGAAACCUGGGGAAUAUUUCCAAGAUUCAAGCUCAGUAGCAGCUUCAUCUUGCUCAAACCUGCUUUUAAUUAUUUACUACGUGGAUGAAGACCAUGAUGUAGAGGUAUGAUGAGAGCAGCCCAAACCUCAACUGGUUUUGCCAGUACAGUUCCUACUAUGCGGCAGUUUGGAAUUUCUGUUGUCCGACUCCUUAGAUGUUUGACUGAGGCCUCAUUCAUAUUUGGAAUUACCCCAAAAGAAUGUAAAUUUGAGUUUGAUUCCAGAUAUAAGUAGUGCUCACUUAACAAUCACAAUUGGGACUGGAAUCUUGGUUGUUGAGUGAAGCAGUCAUUAAGUAAGAUGUCCCGUGAUGGUUUCACUCAAAAACCCUAAUCCCAGCACUCCUGCUUGCAGUCAUUAAGCAAAUGGAUCCUUGGAAGCCCCAGCAGUACCAAUGUGGCAAAAGGCAUCAUGCCCUGUGAAGCACCAAAUGCCUGAUUGGAGUGUCAGCCCUGGAGGCCAUCUUUCUCUUUGGUUCUUCAGUGCUGCCACACUUAGUGCAUAGGCCUGCUGUGAGAAACUAGGAGGGGGGUUGCAUGGAGUGGGUAGAGAUAGUUAGCCACAACAACAUUCUUUUCUCUGGGAGUCAAGGACGUUCAGCCUGCACCUGGAGAGGUGUGACUGGGGAACAUCUCCAAUUGGGACAGUGGAAUGAUUGGACCAUGUGAUGGACAUGUGGGUGCAGGGGAAGGGAUUUUGACUUUCCUUUGGGUGGGAAAAACCCGGGGGCUUUCAGAUUCGGGUUUUCCCAGAUAUGCCAAUAUGACAUCUCUAAUAAAAUGGAACUUUGAGGAA
Pantherophis guttatus is the source of this 1042-nucleotide long non-coding RNA. RefSeq lists it as uncharacterized. NCBI's taxonomy places the organism in Eukaryota, Metazoa, Chordata, Lepidosauria, Squamata, Colubridae. The record is from RefSeq and is a predicted model, not a curated record.